RNAcentral lists this non-coding RNA (28 nucleotides) under Rattus norvegicus (Norway rat). The record is from RNAcentral. Lineage: Eukaryota; Metazoa; Chordata; Mammalia; Rodentia; Muridae.
UGCAUCACAUGUGAUUGAUGACCACAUA